Molecule: ribosomal RNA, 561 nt
Filed under: Chaetomium trigonosporum
Lineage: Eukaryota; Fungi; Ascomycota; Sordariomycetes; Sordariales; Chaetomiaceae
Description: partial large subunit ribosomal RNA
Rfam family: Eukaryotic large subunit ribosomal RNA
Source: RNAcentral
GCAUAUCAAUAAGCGGAGGAAAAGAAACCAACAGGGAUUGCCCCAGUAACGGCGAGUGAAGCGGCAACAGCUCAAAUUUGAAAUCUGGCCUCGGCCCGAGUUGUAAUUUGCAGAGGAAGCUUUAGGCGCGGCACCAACUGAGUCCCCUGGAACGGGGCGCCAUAGAGGGUGAGAGCCCCGUAUAGUUGGACGCCUAGCCUGUGUAAAGCUCCUUCGACGAGUCGAGUAGUUUGGGAAUGCUGCUCAAAAUGGGAGGUAAAUUUCUUCUAAAGCUAAAUACCGGCCAGAGACCGAUAGCGCACAAGUAGAGUGAUCGAAAGAUGAAAAGCACUUUGAAAAGAGGGUUAAAUAGCACGUGAAAUUGUUGAAAGGGAAGCGCUUGUGACCAGACUUGCGCCGGGCCGAUCAUCCGGUGUUCUCACCGGUGCACUCGGCCCGGCUCAGGCCAGCAUCGGUUCUCGUGGGGGGAUAAAGGUCCCGGGAACGUAGCUCCUCCGGGAGUGUUAUAGCCCGGGGCGUAAUGCCCUCGCGGGGACCGAGGUUCGCGCAUCUGCAAGGAUG